GACAAACGCUGGCGGCGUGCUUAACACAUGCAAGUCGAACGGAAAGGCCCUGCUUGCAGGGUACUCGAGUGGCGAACGGGUGAGUAACACUUGGGUGAUCUGCCCUGCACUUCGGGAUAAGCCUGGGAAACUGGGUCUAAUACCGGAUAGGAGCCAUUUUUAGUGUGAUGGUUGGAAAGUUUUUUCGGUGUAGGAUGAGCUCGCGGCCUAUCAGCUUGUUGGUGGGGUAAUGGCCUACCAAGGCGGCGACGGGUAGCCGGCCUGAGAGGGUGGACGGCCACAUUGGGACUGAGAUACGGCCCAGACUCCUACGGGAGGCAGCAGUGGGGAAUAUUGCACAAUGGGCGAAAGCCUGAUGCAGCGACGCCGCGUGGGGGAUGACGGCCUUCGGGUUGUAAACUCCUUUCGCUAGGGACGAAGCUUUUGUGACGGUACCUAGAUAAGAAGCACCGGCUAACUACGUG
This 464-nucleotide ribosomal RNA is filed under the name uncultured bacterium. RNAcentral describes it as "partial 16S ribosomal RNA". It matches the Rfam family "Bacterial small subunit ribosomal RNA", at positions 28 to 507 of the family's 1533-position model. The record is from RNAcentral.